GUUUGUUUAAAUUUGGCGCGUGUGAUUCUUCAAGGUGUCACAAACUUCACAAUGAUUGAGUUUGGCGGAGUACCCGUCCAAAACCGGGACCGCCUGUUCCUGUACUCCCCGUAGGCAUACAUCCAUCCACCAAGCAAAAAAAACGAAGGUCCUCUUCAGCGUGCAAGUGGUCGGACCCACGCUCCCUAAUCAUAAUCUAACACGUGUGGGGCCUACAUACGUGACCUCCCUCUGUUUUCUCUGUUUCUUAUCCCAUGAGAUGCGUCGUCGUGCUCUGCGAUAUAUUUGAUCUUUCGCGGUUCUUUAAUCUCUCAGCCUCUCCUUCAUUACUGCAAUCUCAGUAUAAUGCUGGUCAAGUCAAUGAGACAAAUAUUGACAAUGUCGAAGCCACCAUUAUAGACUGUAUGUAUGUAGUAGAAGCAGCUGCAAAAUAAAACUGACACUACUAUACCAGAUUUCCAUUUGCAAUUUGGAUUGACGGUUCCGGGACGCGCGCGGCAAUGGGGAGCUUCAAGCUCUCCUUGCUGUGCCUCGUCCCGUUCCUUCUCCUCGCGGUCGCCGCCGGCGGCGAC
This 572-nucleotide long non-coding RNA is filed under the name Sorghum bicolor (sorghum). RNAcentral describes it as "long non-coding RNA (SBIC_LNC003304)". Lineage: Eukaryota; Viridiplantae; Streptophyta; Magnoliopsida; Poales; Poaceae. The record is from RNAcentral.